RNAcentral lists this ribosomal RNA (652 nucleotides) under Thelebolus sp. 11-1375. RNAcentral's name for it is "eukaryotic LSU rRNA". It matches the Rfam family "Eukaryotic large subunit ribosomal RNA", at positions 21 to 694 of the family's 3401-position model. Lineage: Eukaryota; Fungi; Ascomycota; Leotiomycetes; Thelebolales; Thelebolaceae. The record is from RNAcentral.
UUAUUCCCUAUUUUUUUGCAUAUCAAUAAGCGGAGGAAAAGAAACCAACAGGGAUUACCUCAGUAACGGCGAGUGAAGCGGUAACAGCUCAAAUUUGAAAUCUGGCAGCAAUGUCCGAGUUGUAAUUUGUAGAGGAUGUUUCGAGCAUGGUCUGGCCUAAGUUCCUUGGAACAGGACGUCAUAGAGGGUGAGAAUCCCGUAUGCGGUCAGGUGCCUACGCUCAUGUGAAACUCCUUCGACGAGUCGAGUUGUUUGGGAAUGCAGCUCAAAAUGGGUGGUAAAUUUCAUCUAAAGCUAAAUAUUGGCCAGAGACCGAUAGCGCACAAGUAGAGUGAUCGAAAGAUGAAAAGCACUUUGGAAAGAGAGUUAAACAGUACGUGAAAUUGUUGAAAGGGAAGCGCUUGCAACCAGACUUGCACGCAGUUAAUCAUCCGCUGUUCUCAGUGGUGCACUUGAUUGCGUUCAGGCCAGCAUCGGUUUUGGUGGUGGGAUAAAGGCCUUAGGAAUGUAGCUGCUUUCGGGCAGUGUUAUAGCCUAGGGUGCAAUGCCGCCUACUGGGACCGAGGACCGCGCUUCGGCUAGGAUGCUGGCGUAAUGGUUGUAAGCGACCCGUCUUGAAACACGGACCAAAAAUUAGGAUAGGCCGGGCCCC